AAUUAUCCGUGCUAUUUGACAUAAAAGAGCACAAAUGGAAUUUGUUAUUUUAGCCUAGGCAAGGAAAUCACCUUAGGCCUUCUUCAUAGGGCACAAUUAUCGAAAGAUAUAUAUAUGUUAGUUUUUUUUUUUUUUUUUAUCAAACAACACAAUAACACUCAAGUCCACACAUAAAUGCCGAAAAUCAUAGCAUUUUAUGUUUCAUGAUGGGGAGUGGGAUGCAUGAAUUGAGUUAUUUUUUUGAUGUUGAAUAAGUAUUUUAUGUUUUGAGAUUGAUUAUUAUGCUUGAAUGACAUUUCGUACUUAUAUUUUUGAUAGAAUAUUCUGGCUUAAUAAGAAUUAGUAGUAUAAUUUAUCUGCAUUGUAUUAUUUAGAAUUUUUUUAAUUAAAAUAAAUUAAUGUUUGAAAGGCUUACACCUCAAUGCUUCAAGGCUUACGCCUCGCAUAGAGGACUAAAAACACCUCGC
RNAcentral lists this long non-coding RNA (467 nucleotides) under Prunus persica (peach). Its description in RNAcentral is "long non-coding RNA (PPER_LNC004096)". Lineage: Eukaryota; Viridiplantae; Streptophyta; Magnoliopsida; Rosales; Rosaceae. The record is from RNAcentral.